CUAGGCGGAAACUCUAGAUGGCGUUGACGUGUUCUAUGAUGAAGAUUAUGAGUGACAAAUGGGUGUUUGUUACGUUACCCUGUUAUGUGUUUCAAAGGAUUUUUCGUCAAAAAAUUUACGAUUGUUUUUUGUAUGUGGUGGUGUUUUGCCUUGUAAGCUUUGCCAGCUGCUGAACCAGCAGCCUGCAUUCCUGCUAUCCACACACACAUUCCACAUACCACAAGGGAUCCUGACAGUUCAAGAAGGCCAAUAUUCCUUACAUGAAGAUCACCAUCCAGUUCAAGUACUGGUAAUGGACCUCAAGCCUUUUGUUUAAGCUUAGUGAUGUGUUCUCUUGUCAAUCAAUGACAGAGUCUUCAUCUAAUUUGUGUUGCUAACCAUCAGCCCUCAGCAUUCCAGGUAUCCAGAUUUCCAAGUUUCUCUGAUUAGCCAACCAUCAUCCAUACCCUUCAGCUCUUCAUUGCGGCUUCUCUUCCUCUCUUCUUAGUCUGCUGAAUGCCAACAAUGAAUAAAGUUCAUCAUCAUUGCCUUUCCAUGAAAAUCUUCAUUGUUAAUCCUGCUGUUCUUCUGACCGUUACUUAGCCAGCUCACAUGGAUAGGCUUUAAUAACAUCUCCAUUUUUUGUACUGAAAAUAUUCAUCUUCCUUCGGUACAACACUGCCGUUUUGACAAUUUUGGUAGUUUCGCCCCCAGUGGAUCACACGCAACUACAUUUUCUUCGUCUUCCUGUCGUUGUUGUUAACGACUUCACCUCAUCGCUGUCUUCGUUGACGUCUUCGCCUUCAUCUCCGUCCCGUCGUCUUGGUCGUCUUCGCCUUCAUCUCCGUCACGUCGUUUUCGCCUUCAUCUCCGUCUCGUCGUCUUCGCCGUCUAAGUCUACGCCAUCAUCUCGUCGCCGGCUUCUCCUUCGCCCUUCACGUAGGGAGUUCACCGUGGAUCGUCGCUCUGGUAUUGUUUUAUUUUGCAUUGUUAUGUUUAAGUUAACCCGUUGGCUGCCACCCCGUUUGCGUCCCAUUUUUUUUGUAGCUUGUAGGGACCGGCCGCAAUGGCCUUCGCCGCAAGGCGCUUUAGGCAA
RNAcentral lists this long non-coding RNA (1075 nucleotides) under Daphnia magna. Its description in RNAcentral is "uncharacterized LOC116922079, transcript variant X1". Lineage: Eukaryota; Metazoa; Arthropoda; Branchiopoda; Diplostraca; Daphniidae. The record is from RNAcentral.